AAUCUAUGGAAGCAACCAACUCGUAUAUCCUCAAUAAUAUGGUUUGAGGGUCUCUACUAGGAACCAAAAAUCCUAACUACGAGUAUAGGAUACGUGCGU
This 99-nucleotide non-coding RNA is filed under the name Paenibacillus sp. Its description in RNAcentral is "Guanine sequence". It matches the Rfam family "Purine riboswitch aptamer". Rfam says of the family: Riboswitches are metabolite binding domains within certain messenger RNAs that serve as precision sensors for their corresponding targets. Allosteric rearrangement of mRNA structure is mediated by ligand binding, and this results in modulation of gene expression. A class of riboswitches that selectively recognises guanine and becomes saturated at concentrations as low as 5 nM. RNAcentral also lists the same sequence under 1 other name. The record is from RNAcentral. Lineage: Bacteria; Bacillati; Bacillota; Bacilli; Caryophanales; Paenibacillaceae.